Long non-coding RNA from Capsicum annuum, 901 nucleotides. RefSeq lists it as uncharacterized. The transcript has 5 exons. The record is from RefSeq and is a predicted model, not a curated record. Lineage: Eukaryota; Viridiplantae; Streptophyta; Magnoliopsida; Solanales; Solanaceae.
AUGACUCAUCAGUUUAUCAGAAAAAAGGCGGUCAUUAGUUUCUAUAAAACUCCAAAUAGGUUGAUGAUUGCUUUCUGCAAGCUUUGGAGUUGUAUUUUUAUCAUCUUUUGUUCAUCUUGCUUAGGACUGCUACUUUUGCUUUUGGUGGAACAAAACAAAGGAAAGAACAAAGCCGUUUCAGAGAAGGAUUUAGUGUUGUACAUUUCAAUUUAUAGAUGAAAGUGGAUCAACAACUGCAAAUUACUUGGUGAACUUGGAGAGAAUAUUCUUUCAAUGAGAACUGAACAAAUCUAUGAACCAAUUAACAUAAAGAGAAACAGGAUGCUCUUCAAUUACCAACGUCAUCAGCUUCUCUAGAUGUUGGAGAAAACACUAAAAGAGAACUUGACAAUGCAUCAUCGCCAGAUGAACCGAAAAAGCCAACUAUUGGAAGUACCUCAUCUAGCAAGAGACAACAGCUUGAGUGCAUAACUCGAUCAAAAAAGAAUGUCUCUUCCAGCACACCAGCUAAGAUAAAGUAAAGCUCGCUCGGCUAUGUGCCUGCCUUGUAUAUAUGUCUUUUGUUGGUUUCUAUAUGCCAAGCUUUUGAUGGAGCAGAUGCUUAAGGAUCAGUAGUUAAUAGUUACAAUAUACAAGAUUGUUGGUGCUUACAAUGUUUACCCUUAAACUUGCGCAUUAUAAAUGUGUUUUUGGCUGGUAGCGCAAAACUAAAGUGUCCUGUAGUAUUAAGCAUUGUAAAUUUGUUUUUGUCCAGUAGCGCACUAUAGUCUUGCGCAUUGUAAAUUUGUUUUUGUCAGUAGCACACAACUUGAUAGUUGUGUAUCCUUGCGCAGUGUAAAUUUGUUUUUGUCUAGCAGCACACAACUUGAUAAUCCUAUAUUAUAAUCUUAGUUCCUAAAAA